GAAAUGUUCACGUGUUACAGCGGCACGUGACGCAGCCGCAGCACACCCCAACAUGCGCCGAGUGCGAGGGCCUGUUCAACACUGCUUGAGGCUUUAAUUGACUUUUGUUUAUGCCAACAAUUUGAACUGCAUCUAUAAUGUCAUGAUCACAUAAAAAAAGACCUAAACCAAUAAUUUAUUGACAGAUGACAGUUUUUUUCAUUACCCACACUAGUACAUUUUAAGUCAACCCUGGAAAUGGGAAUCGAGAACCUGUUCCAGUUGAAAACUGGUUCCAAAUCAUCCAAUCCAUCAGAAUCUUAUGCCACUGAGUUUAUCAAUUUCUUUUAUCGAUGCCUGCAUGCAUUUCUGUGAAAGUUGGGCUUUUGCAAAGCAGUGACAUCAAAUUUGACACAUUCACACUGAAAACCUUUGUAGGCCUACCUUUAUCCACACAUGAAAUUGAUCAAGAUUUAAUAAGGGAAUCGGAAAAGAAUAUGAGCAUAAUAAAUAAUGGUACUGGUAUCAAUCAAAAGAUUGAAUGUAUGUUGUCCUGCUUUAGAAUAUACUUAUUUGUGAAACAAAUGCGCACUAGUCAGCAGCUGAAAAUAGUUUCCAACAAAAACUGCAGAGCCCAGAUGUUUUAGGAAUUGAAUAGGCCUUUUUAAUGAAACUAUAUUAGCUUCCCUUGUUGUAUUUGUGAAUCUGCCAGAGACAGAAUCAGAAAGUAUUGAGAGACUUAAUGAGAGAACACAUUGUUGGUUUUGGUCUUUCCAUGAGAUUUGUUGACAAUGAAUAAAAUACAGAACUAUGCCAGCCUCAGAUGUUAAGAUGACAGUCACCUGAUGUAAACAAGUCUGCUGAUCUGUAAAAUCAAGUGUGGAUACAUGGUCAAUGUUUUGUUUAUUUUGAUGUGAAUUUACUUGCUGAAUUAUGGUAGUCAUUUAGAUUAUACGAAAUAUAUUGGAUCUGUUUGUGUGACUUCUAAACUUGGAGGUGUACCAAAUAAGUUGGAAACUGCUGCCACCUGGUCAGUUGAUUUCUCUUCUCUGUCUUUAUUGUUUAAUGCUUUUGAUAUAGAAUACAGGAUUACUUUGUUGUUCCGUCUUCCUUUAGCGACAAAGGAGAAGCGGGCAAAAAGAGAUGGCAGUGGCACAACUCAGAUAUCCUGUAAUCAAAGCAAGAUAGGUGACAAUGAGGAAAGGAAGAGAGAGAAACAAGCCAUAAUGAUUAAAAUGGAAUCCUUGAUGAAAGAAAUGGAAGGAUUGUUGAAACAGGAUGGAAUGAGUUUUCUGACACCAGUAAUUGGAUUCUAUUGCCAGAGGUGUGAGGAGUUCAUUGGAGAUUUGAAUAGUGCUGAAAACCAUACAGCUGUUCACCGCCAUAGUAACUCUAGCAGUGUACGUAUACUUCCCAUAUACCUCUGUGUGGACAUCUGGUGACGUUUUAUAUUUUUUGUAUUCAACAAAUCCCAUGAAAAGUCAAACCCAAAAAUGAAUGUUUCCUACUAACAAGUAUUGUGUUUGCCUAAUAUACAGGUGCAUCUCAAUAAA
This is a long non-coding RNA of Morone saxatilis (striped sea-bass), 1532 nucleotides long. RefSeq lists it as uncharacterized. The transcript is spliced from 3 exons. The record is from RefSeq and is a predicted model, not a curated record. Lineage: Eukaryota; Metazoa; Chordata; Actinopteri; Moronidae.